GUGGGGAAUAUUGGACAAUGGGCGCAAGCCUGAUCCAGCCAUGCCGCGUGAGUGAUGAAGGCCUUAGGGUUGUAAAGCUCUUUUGUCCGGGAAGAUAAUGACUGUACCGGAAGAAUAAGCCCCGGCUAACUUCGUGCCAGCAGCCGCGGUAAUACGAAGGGGGCUAGCGUUGUUCGGAAUCACUGGGCGUAAAGCGCACGUAGGCGGACCAUUAAGUCAGGGGUGAAAGCCUGGAGCUCAACUCCAGAACUGCCUUUGAUACUGAUGGUCUCGAGUAUGGAAGAGGUUGGUGGAACUGCGAGUGUAGAGGUGAAAUUCGUAGAUAUUCGCAAGAACACCGGUGGCGAAGGCGGCCAACUGGUCCAUUACUGACGCUGAGGUGCGAAAGCGUGGGGAGCAAACAGGAUUAGAAACCCCGGUAGUCC
This 425-nucleotide ribosomal RNA is filed under the name uncultured bacterium. RNAcentral describes it as "bacterial SSU rRNA". It matches the Rfam family "Bacterial small subunit ribosomal RNA", at positions 354 to 796 of the family's 1533-position model. The record is from RNAcentral.